AGAGUUUGAUCAUGGCUCAGAUUGAACGCUGGCGGCAUGCCUUACACAUGCAAGUCGAACGGCAGCACGGGGGCAACCCUGGUGGCGAGUGGCGAACGGGUGAGUAAUGCAUCGGAACGUGCCCAGUAGUGGGGGAUAGGCCGGCGAAAGCCGGGUUAAUACCGCAUACGACCUAAGGGUGAAAGCGGGGGACCGUAAAAGGCCUCGCGCUAUUGGAGCGGCCGAUGUCUGAUUAGCUAGUUGGUGAGGUAAAGGCUCACCAAGGCGACGAUCAGUAGCUGGUCUGAGAGGACGACCAGCCACACUGGGACUGAGACACGGCCCAGACUCCUACGGGAGGCAGCAGUGGGGAAUUUUGGACAAUGGGCGCAAGCCUGAUCCAGCCAUGCCGCGUGCGGGAAGAAGGCCUUCGGGUUGUAAACCGCUUUUGGCAGGAACGAAACGGCGCGGGCGAAUAUCCCGCGCUAAUGACGGUACCUGCAGAAUAAGCACCGGCUAACUACGUGCCAGCCGCCGCGGUAAUUC
This 525-nucleotide ribosomal RNA is filed under the name uncultured bacterium. RNAcentral's name for it is "bacterial SSU rRNA". It matches the Rfam family "Bacterial small subunit ribosomal RNA", at positions 8 to 526 of the family's 1533-position model. The record is from RNAcentral.